AGAGUUUGAUCCUGGCUCAGGAUGAACGCUAGCGACAGGCUUAACACAUGCAAGUCGAGGGGCAGCGGUGGUGAAGGCUUGCCUUUACCAGCCGGCGACCGGCGCACGGGUGAGUAACACGUAUGCAACCUGCCUACCACAGCCGGAUAAUCGGGAGAAAUCCCGUCUAAUACGGCAUAAUGCACCUAUGGGACAUCCUGUUGGUGCCAAAGGUUAAUUCCGGUGGCGGAUGGGCAUGCGUCGCAUUAGUUAGUUGGCGGUGUAACGGACCACCAAGACGACGAUGCGUAGGGGUUCUGAGAGGAAGGUCCCCCACACUGGUACUGAGACACGGACCAGACUCCUACGGGAGGCAGCAGUGAGGAAUAUUGGUCAAUGGGCGGGAGCCUGAACCAGCCAAGUCGCGUGAGGGAUGACGGCCCUAUGGGUUGUAAACCUCUUUUGCCGGGGAGCAAAGUGCCGCACGUGUGCGGUUUGGAGAGUACCCGGAGAAAAAGCAUCGGCUAACUCCGUGCCAGCAGCCGCGGUAAUACGGAGGAUGCGAGCGUUAUCCGGAUUUUAUUGGGUUUAAAGGGUGCGUAGGCGGACGCUUAAGUCAGCGGUAAAAUUGCGGGGCUCAACCUCGUCGAGCCGUUGAAACUGGGUGCCUUGAGUGGGCGAGAAGUAGCGGCGGAAUUCGUGGUGUAGCGGUGAAAUGCAUAGAUAUCACGCAGAACUCCGAUUGCGAAGGCAGCGUUCCGGCGCCCAACUGACGCUGAAGCUCGAAGGCGUGGGUAUCGAACAGGAUUAGAUACCCUGGUAGUCCACGCAGUAAACGAUGAAU
Molecule: ribosomal RNA, 823 nt
Filed under: uncultured bacterium
Lineage: Bacteria
Description: bacterial SSU rRNA
Rfam family: Bacterial small subunit ribosomal RNA
Source: RNAcentral